UUGUCAUUAGUUGCUACGAAAAGGGCAACUCUAAUGAGACUGCCGGUGACAAACCGGAGGAAGGUGGGGAUGACGUCAAGUCCUCAUGGCCCUUAUGGGUAGGGCUUCACACGUCAUACAAUGGUCGGGACAGAGGGUCGCCAACCGCAGGGGGAGCCAAUCCCAGAAACCCGAUCGUAGUCCGGAUUGCAGGCUGCAACUCGCCUGCAUGAAGUCGGAAUCGCUAGUAAUCGCGGAUCAGCAUGUCGCGGUGAAUACGUUCCCGGGUCUU
This 271-nucleotide ribosomal RNA is filed under the name uncultured Pusillimonas sp. RNAcentral's name for it is "partial 16S ribosomal RNA". It matches the Rfam family "Bacterial small subunit ribosomal RNA", at positions 1105 to 1382 of the family's 1533-position model. The record is from RNAcentral. Lineage: Bacteria; Pseudomonadati; Pseudomonadota; Betaproteobacteria; Burkholderiales; Alcaligenaceae.